UACAAAUUUAGGGUAAAUAAAUUGAGAACUAUAUGGUUCAUUCAAUUCACCUCCCUCACUUCACUUAAUUAUAUAUAUAUAGAUAUGAAUAAAUAAAUGUGAGAUUUUUUCACUUUUCCAUGUUGGUGGGCUAAGCUUAUUAUAUAAAGAAGAUAUAUGUAUGUAGUAGGUUCCCCAUUACUACUACUACUAUUGAUUAUUUGAUUUGAUUUGAUUUGAUUUAUGAUGGAAGAACAUCUAACUCCAUUGGCGGUUACACAUCUUCUUCAACACACUCUCAGAAGCUUGUGCAUCCAUGACAAUUCUCAGUGGGUCUAUGCUGUUUUCUGGAGGAUCCUCCCCAGAAACUACCCUCCACCAAAGUGGGAGGGUCAAGGGGCUUAUGAUAGAUCAAGAGGGGCAUUAUUUAGUCACACACCGAAUCUUGCAACCAAUUAAUUAACAAUCCCACUAUUUACUAAUAAUAUUUUUGUCAAUUUC
Molecule: non-coding RNA, 480 nt
Organism: Arachis ipaensis
Lineage: Eukaryota; Viridiplantae; Streptophyta; Magnoliopsida; Fabales; Fabaceae
Source: RefSeq, a predicted model, not a curated record